CAUCCCGGCCUUCUUUUGCCUCUUUAAGCCGUGACACUUCUUCAGUGGAGCCGUGCACUUAACACAACUUGAGACGAUGUAGAAAUGGACUGGACAUGUGUGCCGUUUAAACUCGUUUACAUAUGGUGCUGAUGAUUAUAAAAAUUAUUACGGAGAAGGCGAGAUGGAAUGUAAGGGAAACUUUAUAUAACAAGUAUGUCGAUCAUAGGCGCGGUGUAAUUCGGAUCAGUUUUUGAGGGCUUGGCUCUGGGAGGCUUGGCAUGCCUGCUGAUUUCAUCUAACUGGACUAACUCCGUGGUACCAAACAUGUCAAGAAAAAAAAGAAUGUAUUCAGUAAUAUGAGAAAGAUGAAGAAAUAUGUGCUUUAGAGAGGAGCAGAAACUUACGAAGAACAAACUUGCAGGAUCUGUAAGGAUAGUGUGGGUAAGCCAGUGUUGAGCUGGGCCUGAACACAUCGUGCAUGGCUUUAGCCUAGCCUUCUCAUCCCCGAACAAUGAACGCUAGUAAAGUCCGGAAUUUCCCUUGUUUGUGCUUCCUCUUUGCCUUGAUUAGCUCUGUCAACUGUACUACCAGGUGUUCCAGGAAGAACCAUGCCCGGGAGACAGGCCCUGUGCCCGUAACGGCUUCUGCCCUAACCCUGCCGGUCAGUUCUGUGAGGUGACAGGGGCAGAAGAGGCGGGUGAUUGCGAUGAGGAACUCGGGUUCGUCUGUGUGGAGACCUCUCCUGGCGAAGAAGGGGGGAUCUGCAAGGGUUCCUUCGGGCUUACGGCAGGGGAAGUGACAUACACCAGUAUUCAUAUAACAUGGACAGACUUCGCGCCCAGGAACUAUGAGUACGAGUACAUUGUCUUCUGGACAAAAUACUUCCAGGGGAACCUCACGGAAUGGGAGGAUGAACAGGUUGGCCAAGUGCCAUCGGCCACGCUUGACAAGCUGGAGCAGAACACCCUGUACUUUAUCAGAGUGGGCACAUGGGACAACCAGAAGUAAAACCGCUUCAAAAACCUCUCCGAGGUUAUCAUGGUCACAACAAUGGG
Molecule: long non-coding RNA, 1037 nt
Organism: Liolophura sinensis
Lineage: Eukaryota; Metazoa; Mollusca; Polyplacophora; Chitonida; Chitonidae
Exons: 3
Source: RefSeq, a predicted model, not a curated record